GUGUGACUGCGUACCUUUUGUAUAAUGGGUCAGCGACUUAUAUUCUGUAGCAAGGUUAACCGAAUAGGGGAGCCGGAGGGAAACCGAGUCUUAAUUGGGCGUUAAGUUGCAGGGUAUAGACCCGAAACCCGGUGAUCUAGCCAUGGGCAGGUUGAAGGUUGGGUAACACUAACUGGAGGACCGAACCGACUAAUGUUGAAAAAUUAGCGGAUGACCUGUGGCUGGGGGUGAAAGGCCAAUCAAACCGGGAGAUAGCUGGUUCUCCCCGAAAGCUAUUUAGGUAGCGCCUCGUGAAUUCAUCUCCGGGGGUAGAGCACUGUUUCGGCUAGGGGGCCAUCCCGGCUUACCAACCCGAUGCAAACUGCGAAUACCGGAGAAUGUUAUCACGGGAGACACACGGCGGGUGCUAACGUCCGUCGUGAAGAGGGAAACAACCCAGACCGCCAGCUAAGGUCCCAAAGUCAUGGUUAAGUGGGAAACGAUGUGGGAAGGCCCAGACAGCCAGGAUGUUGGCUUAGAAGCAGCCAUCAUUUAAAGAAAGCGUAAUAGCUCACUGGUCGAGUCGGCCUGCGCGGAAGAUGUAACGGGGCUAAACCAUGCACCGAAGCUGCGGCAGCGACACUCAGGUGUUGUUGGGUAGGGGAGCGUUCUGUAAGCCUGCGAAGGUGGCCUGUGAGGGUUGCUGGAGGUAUCAGAAGUGCGAAUGCUGACAUAAGUAACGAUAAAGCGGGUGAAAAGCCCGCUCGCCGGAAGACCAAGGGUUCCUGUCCAACGUUAAUCGGGGCAGGGUGAGUCGACCCCUAAGGCGAGGCCGAAAGGCGUAGUCGAUGGGAAACGGGUUAAUAUUCCCGUACUUGGUGUUACUGCGAAGGGGGGACGGAGAAGGCUAUGUUGGCCGGGCGACGGUUGUCCCGGUUUAAGCGUGUAGGUGUGUGUUCCAGGUAAAUCCGGUUCACUUUAACACUGAGGCGUGACGACGAGGCACUACGGUGCUGAAGCAACAAAUGCCCUGCUUCCAGGAAAAGCCUCUAAGCAUCAGGUAACAUCAAAUCGUACCCCAAACCGACACAGGUGGUCAGGUAGAGAAUACCAAGGCGCUUGAGAGAACUCGGGUGAAGGAACUAGGCAAAAUGGUGCCGUAACUUCGGGAGAAGGCACGCUGACACGUAGGUGAAGUGAUUUACUCAUGGAGCUGAAGUCAGUCGAAGAUACCAGCUGGCUGCAACUGUUUAUUAAAAACACAGCACUGUGCAAACACGAAAGUGGACGUAUACGGUGUGACGCCUGCCCGGUGCCGGAAGGUUAAUUGAUGGGGUCAGCGCAAGCGAAGCUCCUGAUCGAAGCCCCGGUAAACGGCGGCCGUAACUAUAACGGUCCUAAGGUAGCGAAAUUCCUUGUCGGGUAAGUUCCGACCUGCACGAAUGGCGUAAUGAUGGCCAGGCUGUCUCCACCCGAGACUCAGUGAAAUUGAACUCGCUGUGAAGAUGCAGUGUACCCGCGGCAAGACGGAAAGACCCCGUGAACCUUUACUAUAGCUUGACACUGAACAUUGAGCCUUGAUGUGUAGGAUAGGUGGGAGGCUUUGAAGUGUGGACGCCAGUCUGCAUGGAGCCGACCUUGAAAUACCACCCUUUAAUGUUUGAUGUUCUAACGUGGACCCGUGAUCCGGGUUGCGGACAGUGUCUGGUGGGUAGUUUGACUGGGGCGGUCUCCUCCUAAAGAGUAACGGAGGAGCACGAAGGUUGGCUAAUCCUGGUCGGACAUCAGGAGGUUAGUGCAAUGGCAUAAGCCAGCUUGACUGCGAGCGUGACGGCGCGAGCAGGUGCGAAAGCAGGUCAUAGUGAUCCGGUGGUUCUGAAUGGAAGGGCCAUCGCUCAACGGAUAAAAGGUACUCCGGGGAUAACAGGCUGAUACCGCCCAAGAGUUCAUAUCGACGGCGGUGUUUGGCACCUCGAUGUCGGCUCAUCACAUCCUGGGGCUGAAGUAGGUCCCAAGGGUAUGGCUGUUCGCCAUUUAAAGUGGUACGCGAGCUGGGUUUAGAACGUCGUGAGACAGUUCGGUCCCUAUCUGCCGUGGGCGCUGGAGAACUGAGGGGGGCUGCUCCUAGUACGAGAGGACCGGAGUGGACGCAUCACUGGUGUUCGGGUUGUCAUGCCAAUGGCACUGCCCGGUAGCUAAAUGCGGAAGAGAUAAGUGCUGAAAGCAUCUAAGCACGAAACUUGCCCCGAGAUGAGUUCUCCCUGAGACUUUAGGUCUCCUGAAGGAACGUUGAAGACGACGACGUUGAUAGGCCGGGUGUGUAAGCGCAGCGAUGCGUUGAGCUAACCGGUACUAAUGAACCGUGAGGCUUAACCUUAC
This 2358-nucleotide ribosomal RNA is filed under the name Salmonella enterica subsp. enterica serovar Montevideo str. 446600. RNAcentral's name for it is "bacterial LSU rRNA". It matches the Rfam family "Bacterial large subunit ribosomal RNA", at positions 591 to 2925 of the family's 2925-position model. Lineage: Bacteria; Pseudomonadati; Pseudomonadota; Gammaproteobacteria; Enterobacterales; Enterobacteriaceae. The record is from RNAcentral.